GUAAUCGGACAUUAAUCCACAUGUGUUAGGGUGGGUUAGAGUGAAACUUGAACUAAAUUUCACCCCAAUCCACUCCAACACAUGUGGAUCAGGGUGAAUUCGACA
Molecule: microRNA precursor, 105 nt
Filed under: Sorghum bicolor (sorghum)
Lineage: Eukaryota; Viridiplantae; Streptophyta; Magnoliopsida; Poales; Poaceae
Description: MIR5565 microRNA precursor family
Rfam family: MIR5565 microRNA precursor family
Source: Rfam by way of RNAcentral